GAUGAACGCUGGCGGUAUGCUUAACACAUGCAAGUCGAACGGUCACUUCGGUGAUAGUGGCGGACGGGUGAGUAACGCGUGAGAAUCUGUCUUCAGGUCGGGGACAACAGUUAGAAAUGACUGCUAAUACCGGAUGUGCCUUUGGGUGAAAGAUUUAUUGCCUGAAAAAGAGCUCGCGUCAGAUUAGCUAGUAGGUGGUGUAAGAGACUACCUAGGCUCCGAUCUGUAGCUGGUCUGAGAGGACGACCCGCCACACUGGAACUGAGACACGGUCCAGACGCCUACGGGGGGCAGCAGUGGGGAAUUUUCCGCAAUGGGCGAAAGCCUGGCGGAGCAAUACCGCGUGAGAGACGAAGGCUUUUGGAUCGUAAACCUCUUUUCUCAAGGAAGAUGAUGACGGUACUUGAGGAAUAAGCAUCGGCUAACUCUGUG
Molecule: ribosomal RNA, 432 nt
Filed under: uncultured bacterium
Lineage: Bacteria
Description: partial 16S ribosomal RNA
Rfam family: Bacterial small subunit ribosomal RNA
Source: RNAcentral